AUUGAACGCUGGCGGCAGGCCUAACACAUGCAAGUCGAGCGGAUGAAGGGAGCUUGCUCCUGGAUUCAGCGGCGGACGGGUGAGUAAUGUCUAGGAAUCUGCCUGGUAGUGGGGGAUAACGUCCGGAAACGGGCGCUAAUACCGCAUACGUCCUGAGGGAGAAAGUGGGGGAUCUUCGGACCUCACGCUAUCAGAUGAGCCUAGGUCGGAUUAGCUAGUUGGUGGGGUAAAGGCCUACCAAGGCGACGAUCCGUAACUGGUCUGAGAGGAUGAUCAGUCAGACUGGAACUGAGACACGGUCCAGACUCCUACGGGAGGCAGCAGUGGGGAAUAUUGGACAAGGGGCGAAAGCCUGAUCCAGCCAUGCCGCGUGUGUGAAGAAGGUCUUCGGAUUGUAAAGCACUGUAAGUUGGGAGGAAGGACAGUAAGUUAAUACCUUGCUGUUUUGACGUUACCAACAGAAUAAGCACCGGCUAACUUCGUG
RNAcentral lists this ribosomal RNA (484 nucleotides) under uncultured bacterium. RNAcentral describes it as "partial 16S ribosomal RNA". It matches the Rfam family "Bacterial small subunit ribosomal RNA", at positions 30 to 507 of the family's 1533-position model. The record is from RNAcentral.